Molecule: ribosomal RNA, 253 nt
Filed under: uncultured bacterium
Lineage: Bacteria
Description: partial 16S ribosomal RNA
Rfam family: Bacterial small subunit ribosomal RNA
Source: RNAcentral
UACGGGGGGGGCAAGCGUUGUUCGGAAUUACUGGGCGUAAAGGGCUCGUAGGUGGCCAACUAAGUCAGACGUGAAAUCCCUCAGCUUAACUGGGGAACUGCGUCUGAUACUGGAUGGCUUGAGUUUGGGAGAGGGAUGCGGAAUUCCAGGUGUAGCGGUGAAAUGCGUAGAUAUCGUGAGGAAGACCAGUGGCGAAGGCGGAUCUCUGGACAGCUCCUGACGCUGAGGCGCGAAGGCUAGGGGAGCAAACGGG